GUUAUAUGGUCAAGUGAAGAAGCGCAUACGGUGGAUGCCUUGGCAGUCAGAGGCGAUGAA
Molecule: ribosomal RNA, 60 nt
Filed under: Pseudomonas aeruginosa
Lineage: Bacteria; Pseudomonadati; Pseudomonadota; Gammaproteobacteria; Pseudomonadales; Pseudomonadaceae
Description: partial 23S ribosomal RNA
Source: RNAcentral